Molecule: ribosomal RNA, 253 nt
Filed under: uncultured bacterium
Lineage: Bacteria
Description: partial 16S ribosomal RNA
Rfam family: Bacterial small subunit ribosomal RNA
Source: RNAcentral
GACGGGGGGGGCAAGUGUUCUUCGGAAUUACUGGGCGUAAAGAGCUCGUAGGCGGUUUGUCGCGUCUGCUGUGAAAGACCGGGGCUCAACUCCGGUUCUGCAGUGGGUACGGGCAGACUAGAGUGAUGUAGGGGAGACUGGAAUUCCUGGUGUAGCGGUGAAAUGCGCAGAUAUCAGGAGGAACACCGAUGGCGAAGGCAGGUCUCUGGGCAUUAACUGACGCUGAGGAGCGAGAGCAUGGGGAGCGAACAGG